GAUGAACGCUGGCGGCGUGCCUAAUACAUGCAAGUCGAACGCACAGCGAAAGGUGCUUGCACCUUUCAAGUGAGUGGCGAACGGGUGAGUAACACGUGGACAACCUGCCUCAAGGCUGGGGAUUAACAUUUGGAAACAGAUGCUAAUACCGAAUAAAACUUAGUGUCGCAUGACACAAAGUUAAAAGGCGCUUCGGCGUCACCUAGAGAUGGAUCCGCGGUGCAUUAGUUAGUUGGUGGGUAAAGGCUACCAAGACAAUGAUGCAUAGCCGAGUUGAGAGACUGAUCGGCCACAUUGGGACUGAGACAC
RNAcentral lists this ribosomal RNA (309 nucleotides) under uncultured bacterium. RNAcentral describes it as "bacterial SSU rRNA". It matches the Rfam family "Bacterial small subunit ribosomal RNA", at positions 28 to 327 of the family's 1533-position model. The record is from RNAcentral.